RNAcentral lists this ribosomal RNA (253 nucleotides) under uncultured bacterium. Its description in RNAcentral is "partial 16S ribosomal RNA". It matches the Rfam family "Bacterial small subunit ribosomal RNA", at positions 524 to 776 of the family's 1533-position model. The record is from RNAcentral.
UACGUAGGGUGCGAGCGUUAAUCGGAAUUACUGGGCGUAAAGCGUGCGCAGGCGGUUCGUCAAGUCUGGUGUGAAAGCCCCGGGCUCAACCUGGGAAUGGCAUUGGAAACUAGCGAGCUUGAGUGUGGCAGAGGGGGGUGGAAUUCCACGUGUAGCAGUGAAAUGCGUAGAGAUGUGGAGGAACACCGAUGGCGAAGGCAGCCCCCUGGGCUAACACUGACGCUCAGGCACGAAAGCGUGGGGAGCAAACAGG